ACCCGCUGAAUUUAAGCAUAUCAAUAAGCGGAGGAAAAGAAACCAACAGGGAUUGCCUUAGUAACGGCGAGUGAAGCGGCAAAAGCUCAAAUUUGAAAUCUGGCACCUUCGGUGUCCGAGUUGUAAUUUGAAGAAGGUAACUUUGGAGUUGGCUCUUGUCUAUGUUCCUUGGAACAGGACGUCACAGAGGGUGAGAAUCCCGUGCGAUGAGAUGCCCAAUUCUAUGUAAAGUGCUUUCGAAGAGUCGAGUUGUUUGGGAAUGCAGCUCUAAGUGGGUGGUAAAUUCCAUCUAAAGCUAAAUAUUGACGAGAGACCGAUAGCGAACAAGUACUGUGAAGGAAAGAUGAAAAGCACUUUGAAAAGAGAGUGAAAAAGUACGUGAAAUUGUUAAAAGGGAAGGGUAUUGAAUCAGACUUGGUGCUGUUGUUCAACUGUGUUUCGGCACAGUGUACUCAGCAGUACUAGGCCAAGGUGGGGUGUUUGGGAGUGAAAAAGAAGUUGGAACGUAACUCUUCGGAGUGUUAUAGCCUACUUUCAUAGCUCCUCAGGCGCCUCAGGACUGCGCUUCGGCAAGGACCUUGGCAUAAUGAUUCUAUACCGCCCGUCUUGAAACACGGACCAAGGAG
This 626-nucleotide ribosomal RNA is filed under the name uncultured fungus. RNAcentral's name for it is "eukaryotic LSU rRNA". It matches the Rfam family "Eukaryotic large subunit ribosomal RNA", at positions 23 to 673 of the family's 3401-position model. The record is from RNAcentral. Lineage: Eukaryota; Fungi.